UCAAUGACAGCGAGAGAGCGAGCGAGCCUGGACAGGAGGUGUGUGCAUGGCUCGCCUGGCUCCGGGACACCAGACACUGCUCAGUAUUUGCACCAUCCAGCCCCGCCCCCCGGCUCUGGGUCUCAGGUUCCAGCAGAAGCUGCGGAGGGUUUCAGAGACUCUCCCCAGAGGAAGAAGCCAGUUUCCGCAUCUCCUGCUGUUUUGCUUCGGUCCGAGACACGAUGACCUGGCUCUUCGCUGCUCUGCUGGCCCUGGCCCCACGUGCCCUUUCUCAAGUGCAGCUGGUGGCGUCCGGCCCUGGGGCGGGGCAGGUCUCCGAGCCCCUCACACUCACCUGCGCUGUCUCGGGUGGCUCCAUCACUGAUGAUUACUGGGACUGGUACCGGCAGCUUCCCCGGGGAGCGCUGGACUGGCUGGGAGAGAUUGACUGGUACAACUCGCAGUGGCGCGUAGACUACGCCCCAUCUCUCCAAGGCCGAGUCACCCUCUCCGCGGAUUCCUCCAAGAACCAGUUCUCCCUGCUGCUCCGCUCGCUGACAGCUGCGGACACCGCCACCUAUUACUGCGCCAGGAGAGACACAGUGACACAGAGACAGGGAGCCCUCAGUCAGAAAGGGAGGAACCCGCGCGAGGGAGGGAGGGGGGGCUGAACUCUCCUGGCUUGUCCCCUUCUCUCAACCCCGCUCUGCGAGGGACAAGGUGGGGGAGCCCAUGUCCUUUACCGGACCGACUUCUG
This is a non-coding RNA of Chelonoidis abingdonii (Abingdon island giant tortoise), 736 nucleotides long. Lineage: Eukaryota; Metazoa; Chordata; Testudines; Testudinidae. The record is from the annotation of a RefSeq genome assembly.